AUAUUAAUUAUCAUAUAAUAGUAAAGAUUAGAAAACGACAAAAAGAGUAUGAAGUAAAAUUAGUAGGGUAAGGUGUUGAAUUUUAUUAAACAAAACUAUUGUAAAGGUUAAAAUUAAAAUGAAUGUUGAAUGAUUAGGUGAAAAAGAGAUAAGCUGAUUUUUAAUGUUAAAAAGAGAAAAACAAGUGUUGAAUUUUUGAACAAUUGUACAUAGCCUUAUAACAAAAUCGUCAAUUCAUGAGAUGAAAAAUGCCCAUCCUUAUAAGCCCAAUCCAAAAAUGCUUUUUUAUAAUUUUUGGACCAAAAUAUGCCCAAUAAUAUAAAAACUCCAAUUAUUAAUCAAUUAUGGGAAAACAAUAAUAAAGUAUAUCUCCUUGUUAAAGCAUCAUUUUUAAAUGUAUUCACACAUUUAGGUAUUUGUUUCUCAUUCCUAUAUAUUUUUUGACUUUCCUUCUCACGUUUAAAAUUGUCCAACAUUCGUCUUCUUCUACAUGAGCUUCAUCUUCUCUCACUCUUGACCUCAAAUUGAUCUGCUUUACCUACACCUCCUCUGCUUGCUACUAAUUCAAAAUCAAGAUCUGCUAUUUCAAAACUCAUACAAGAGACAACAAAACUACACAUCCAAAAUUUCAUCAACAUGUUUGCUAUUUUCAUCAAAUUUUUGCUUCAUUUUUGCUUUGGUUCCUUAUUUACCAUAAUUAUUAGGGUUUAGCUAUUCUAAAUUAACGAGCGUUUGUAAUUAGAAGAGAUUUUAUUUAAUAAGCAAUUUAGUUUUCUUUUGAGGAUGAAAGUUGAAUUGGGAAAAGCAAGGAGGAAGAAGAUAUUAUACAUGGACAAAAUCGUCAAUCCAUCAGAUGAAAAAUACCCAUCAUUAGAGCCCAAUCCUAUCCUUUUUAUAGUUUUUAGGCCCAAAUCUGCUCAUUACUGCAAAAGCCCUAACUAUUGAUCAAUUAUGAUAAAAAACCGCAAUAAAUUGUGUCCCCUUAUUCAAUUUAUUAAAAGCAUCGUUUUUAAUUAUACUCACAUAUUUAAGUAUUUCUCUCUCAUUACUUUUGACUAUUUCACCAUUCGUCAGUUUUUCUUAUUAUUAAUUUUGAGUUUUUCUUCUCACGCCUCAAAUGGUCUAAUAUUCGUCUUCUUCUACACGAGUUUCAUCUUCGCUCCAUUUUGACCUCAAAUUGAUACCGACAACUCCUUCGCUUGCUUGUAAUUCAAAACCAAGAUCUGCUAUUACAAAAAUCAUACAAGAGACAACAAAACAACCAAACUACACAUCUAGAAUGACAUCAACUUGUUUGUUAUUUUUAUCGAGUCUUUGUUUAAUAUUUUUUUGGAUUCCUUAUACACCAUCAGUAUUAGGGUUUAGUUAUCAUAACUUUU
RNAcentral lists this small RNA (1379 nucleotides) under Arabidopsis thaliana (thale cress). RNAcentral's name for it is "ATSL100150". The record is from RNAcentral. Lineage: Eukaryota; Viridiplantae; Streptophyta; Magnoliopsida; Brassicales; Brassicaceae.